Symphalangus syndactylus (siamang) is the source of this 928-nucleotide long non-coding RNA. RefSeq lists it as uncharacterized. The record is from RefSeq and is a predicted model, not a curated record. NCBI's taxonomy places the organism in Eukaryota, Metazoa, Chordata, Mammalia, Primates, Hylobatidae.
CCCCUUCCGCCAUGAUUAUAAGUUUCCCGAGGCCUUCCCAGCUUGCAGAACUGAAAAGAAGAGGCGGGCUCCUCUGAGACCCAAUUGGAUGCAUUUCCCAGCUUAGCCCAAGUGCACCCAAAGGUAGGACCGGGGACUCAGUCUACUCACGAGGAUGAAGCUCAGCUUGGAAACCCAGGUGCUCCACCUCCUCAGAACUCCCUCCAGUGAUGCGGGGACAAGGUGAUGCAGCCCCCUUCACGUUGUCUGAACUCCAGCAGGUGCAGAGUGAGCACUUUGGUUGGAAAUGCUUGACUGCGAGCUGUCUCCUGGGCUUCUCUCACAGGGGCCCCACAGCGCCCCAACCCUCCAGCAGGUGCCUGGACCCACUGCCAUGCUGUUUCACUUGCCAAAAUCAGGGGAACGCCUUUUCCUGGCUGGGCCUUUUCUUCUUUCCCAGUGAGCUGGGAGGUGAAAAUUUUAGGACUCUACGAACAGAGACCAGUCAAGGCGCCUUAUGGUUUUGUCCUUACUGCCCUUGAUUUUCAGUCCAAAGCCAUUUUCAAGGACAACCUGCCAUGGCCUCCACUGGCUCAGCGUUCUGCCUGAAGGAGAGCUGCCUUCAGCAGCAGAUCUCAAUUGCCCACUUUUUGGAGGUGGACCAAGGGGUCUUGCCUGCAACCAAAUGAUAAACUUAAAGUGGACCAGGUGUUUUCUUUACCUCAUUUAUAACCUGGGGUGUAAAUGAUUGGCAGUGGAAGGUCAAGCCGUACCUCCUGUGAUGAAUUGGGGCAGGUUAAAUGCACUGAUCUGUUUCUCUUCAUCUAUAGUAACAUCAUGCAGCCACCCAGCAACAUAUUUGAACAAGAGUUUUGCAAUCAUCACACGUAAAAUCUUUCGUUGGAAAAAGGCACUCAUAUACCUUGGUAGAAUAUAUUUGUUAAUUGCU